UACGGGGGGAGCAAGCGUUGUUCGGAUUUACUGGGCGUAAAGGGCGCGUAGGCGGCGCGACAAGUCACUUGUGAAAUCUCUGAGCUCAACUCAGAACGGUCAAGUGAUACUGUCGUGCUAGAGUGCGGAAGGGGCAACUGGAAUUCUUGGUGUAGCGGUGAAAUGCGUAGAUAUCAAGAGGAACACCUGCGGCGAAGGCGGGUUGCUGGGCCGACACUGACGCUGAGGCGCGAAAGCGUGGGGAGCAAACAGG
Molecule: ribosomal RNA, 253 nt
Filed under: uncultured bacterium
Lineage: Bacteria
Description: partial 16S ribosomal RNA
Rfam family: Bacterial small subunit ribosomal RNA
Source: RNAcentral